RNAcentral lists this transfer RNA (75 nucleotides) under Dactylosporangium aurantiacum. RNAcentral describes it as "tRNA-Arg". It matches the Rfam family "tRNA". From Rfam's summary of the family: Transfer RNA (tRNA) molecules are approximately 80 nucleotides in length. Their secondary structure includes four short double-helical elements and three loops (D, anti-codon, and T loops). The record is from RNAcentral. Lineage: Bacteria; Bacillati; Actinomycetota; Actinomycetes; Micromonosporales; Micromonosporaceae.
GCCCUUGUAGCUCAGUGGAUGCAGAGCGCUUCGCUACGAACGAAGAGGCCGGAGGUUCGAGUCCUUCCAAGGGUG